Non-coding RNA from Pelobates cultripes (western spadefoot toad), 301 nucleotides. The record is from the annotation of a GenBank genome assembly. NCBI's taxonomy places the organism in Eukaryota, Metazoa, Chordata, Amphibia, Anura, Pelobatidae.
GUGGCAUGGUUGGGGGAAAUGAGUAUGACAGAAUUGGAGGGGUUAAUGUGAUAGGACGAGUGUGGCAGGGUGAAAGGGGGCAAGUGUGACAGAGUGAUGGAGAAUGAGAGUAAUAGAGUUGGGGGGGUGAGUGUGACAGUGCUAGAGAAGGUGAGUGUGAUAGUGUGAGUAUGGCAGAGCGAUGGGAGGAGAGUAUGGCAUGGGUUAACGACAGGAUUGGUGGAGUUAUUGUGAGUGUGGCAGCGUGUGUGGGGGUGACAGAUACACAGACACAUAGGUGCAUACACUGACUCACAUGAAG